CCUACGGGAGGCAGCAGUGAGGAAUAUUGGUCAAUGGGCGCAAGCCUGAACCAGCCAAGUAGCGUGCAGGAUGACUGCUCUACGAGUUGUAAACUUCUUUUGUACAGGGGUAAAACUAGAUACGUGUGUCUUUUUGCAUGUACUGUAUGAAUAAGGAUCGGCUAACUCCGUGCCAGCAGCCGCGGUAAUACGGAGGAUCCGAGCGUUAUCCGGAUUUAUUGGGUUUAAAGGGAGCGUAGACGGAUUGUUAAGUAAGUUGUGAAAUGUUGGGGCUCAACUGGAGAAUUGCCAUUAAUACUGGCAGUCUUGAGAAUAGCUGCGGUAGGCGGAAUGUGUGGUGUAGCGGUGAAAUGCUUAGAUAUCACACAGAACCCCGAUUGCGAAGGCAGCUUACCAAUCUAUAACUGACAUUGAGGCACGAAAGUGUGGGUAGCAAACAGGAUUAGAUACCCUAGUAGUC
Molecule: ribosomal RNA, 460 nt
Filed under: uncultured bacterium
Lineage: Bacteria
Description: partial 16S ribosomal RNA
Rfam family: Bacterial small subunit ribosomal RNA
Source: RNAcentral